Molecule: long non-coding RNA, 940 nt
Organism: Nicotiana tabacum (common tobacco)
Lineage: Eukaryota; Viridiplantae; Streptophyta; Magnoliopsida; Solanales; Solanaceae
Source: RefSeq, a predicted model, not a curated record
UAUUCUUUUCCCCAAAACCAAACCCUAGAACACAAAUUACAAUUUACUCAAAUCCGAAAAACUCAUUUGAUUCCUCGAGGGAACAAUUCAAUUUAUGACCAACGUCUUCAUAAGCCGGAAAAUUGCUUCAAUUUAAAAUAAAAAAAGUUCAUGAUUAUACGGUGUCCCAAAUGGUACAUGGAAGGGAUGACGACGACGACGACGACGACAACAACAACAACAAGAAGAAGAAGAAGAAGCCACGGGAAAUCCCACAAGUGGGGUCUGGGGAAGUGCAUGGAAGGGAUGGUCUCCACUUAUUUGAGCCACCAAUAAGUAUUCAUUCAAUCAGUAUUUCUCCAAACAAGUAUAUUCAGAAGAAACAGGAUAACUUCUGUAUUAUGUUUGUGAAAAUCUGCACACUGAAACCAAUCAACCUGGUUUGGAUAAAAUAGCUCAGCAUUUCAAGUGAUGAUAAUUCCUGGUUAUGAGAUUUGUAAUCAUUGGCAACUGAUACAUGUGGUUUCUGUAGGUCCAGUUUCCUUCCUUGUUCUACUAAAUGGCUGACAGCUGCUUUAGGAGUCCAUUAUUAUAUGCAAGAACCACAAUGCGAAUAUCAAAGCUCUAGUGCCUCUUCAUCUAGUCUGAGAUUAAAGCAGUACAGGAGACAACAUCUCUUUCUGGCAGGCCUUCAAGAACACAUCGAGCGUCGAUUCUAAAGGACUCUUGACCACAAAACACAGUGGAUUUGUCUCCCAAAGUGAAACCUAACUGCACCACUACAUGAUGUAAACACCAUUGCAACACUCAUUUAGCUCAGUACCUCAGGUUAUGAUCUACUGAAAGGACCAAAAAUGAAAGCUUUCAAGAGUGAACCCAAUAGAUUACCAUACUUUUUUAACAUUAAGUGGUCCACUAAAUUAUCGACUGAAUGAUUCGAAAGAAGUAAGAAUUUCUCAAA